RNAcentral lists this unclassified non-coding RNA (314 nucleotides) under uncultured fungus. RNAcentral's name for it is "sequence contains ITS1, 5.8S rRNA gene". The stretch from base 266 to 314 matches the Rfam family "5.8S ribosomal RNA", at positions 1 to 49 of the family's 154-position model. Lineage: Eukaryota; Fungi. The record is from RNAcentral.
UUUCCGUAGGUGUACCUGCGGAAGGAUCAUUAUUUAAUACGAUUGGUACUGAUGCUGGCGCUUUACUGAUCAUGUGCUCGUCCAUCUAUUUAUCUUCUCUUGGGGACAUUUUUUAGUCUUGAACGAAACCUCUCGCAGUCAAUGCGGUCUGGGAGCCUGGGCGCGAGCCCUUCUCCUGCUUCUUCAAGGCUAUGUUUUCAUAUACACUAUAAAGUUACAGAAUGUCUUUUAACGAUUGCGCUUGUCGUAGUCAUUAAACCUAUACAACUUUCAGCAACGGAUCUCUUGGCUCUCCUAUCGAUGAAGAACGCAGC